Molecule: ribosomal RNA, 433 nt
Filed under: uncultured bacterium
Lineage: Bacteria
Description: partial 16S ribosomal RNA
Rfam family: Bacterial small subunit ribosomal RNA
Source: RNAcentral
AGCGAACGCUGGCGGCAGGCUUAACACAUGCAAGUCGAGCGGGCACUUCGGUGUCAGCGGCAGACGGGUGAGUAACACGUGGGACCGUACCCUUCGGUUCGGAAUACCGCUGGGAAACUAGCGCUAAUACCGGAUACGCCCUUUUGGUGACAGGUUUACUGCCGAAGGAUCGGCCCGCGUCUGAUUAGCUAGUUGGUGGGGUAAGGGCCUACCAAGGCGACGAUCAGUAGCUGGUCUGAGAGGAUGAUCAGCCACACUGGGACUGAGACACGGCCCAGACUCAUACGGGAGGCAGCAGUGGGGAAUAUUGGACAAUGGGCGCAAGCCUGAUCCAGCCAUGCCGCGUGAGUGAUGAAGGCCUUAGGGUUGUAAAGCUCUUUUGUCCGGGACGAUAAUGACGGUACCGGAAGAAUAAGCCCCGGCUAACUUCGUG